GAUGAGCGCUGACAGAAUGCUUAACACAUGCAAGUCUACUUGAACUUCGGUUUGGGUGGCGGACGGGUGAGUAACGCGUAAAGAACUUGCCUCACAGAUAGGGACAACAUUUGGAAACGAAUGCUAAUACCUGAUAUUAUGAUUUUAGGGCAUCCUAGAAUUAUGAAAGCUAUAUGCACUGUGAGAGAGCUUUGCGUCCCAUUAGCUAGUUGGAGAGGUAACGGCUCACCAAGGCGAUGAUGGGUAGCCGGCCUGAGAGGGUGAUCGGCCACAAGGGGACUGAGACACGGCCCUUACUCCUACGGGAGGCAGCAGUGGGGAAUAUGGGACAAUGGACCAAGAGUCUGAUCCAGCAAUUCUGUGUGCACGAUGAAGUUUUUCGGAAUGUAAAGUGCUUUCAGUUGGGAAGAAAAAAAUGACGGUACCAACAGAAGAAGUGACGGCUAAAUACGUG
This 454-nucleotide ribosomal RNA is filed under the name uncultured bacterium. RNAcentral's name for it is "partial 16S ribosomal RNA". It matches the Rfam family "Bacterial small subunit ribosomal RNA", at positions 28 to 507 of the family's 1533-position model. The record is from RNAcentral.